AUCCCAGGUUAAACUUUAGCCAGCCGUCCAGGUAGCAACUCGAUACACACUUUGUUAAAAGGAUCCUGAAACCUAACACAGAGCCUCUGCAGACAGUGAUAAGAGGCUUGGAGAGGCGGGAGAGGGACGGUGUGCAGGCACGGACUCCGGUUGACAUCGGGAGCACUUAUCAGUAGACGGGCAGGGUAGAUUGCGCCCAGAAGUACCUGAAAUUAAGUGAUGCUCACGGAAGACACCCACCUUGAACUCAGAAGCCCCGAACGAGCUCUGUGUGGCCCGGAGGAGGUCUCCAUUUUAUAUGGAUCUUGGGAAUCCUGGCAAGUCCAUGCAGAAGGGACAUGGCGUGAAUGAGUCCCUAAGUGAGUUCAGUCCCCACUUUGAUACUAAUCACGUGGGUUAGUCGGCCUCUCUGGGUCUGCUUCCGUGAAACAGAAAGCUGUGCAGUAGAGUGCUUGAGAGUGGGUCUUAGAUCUCAGAUAGACUGGAUUUCCAGUCUUCACUCAGCCACUUGCUAAUGCUUUGAUCCUGUGUGCUAUUUUUCUCAUUGUGACCCAGUCCGUGACCCAAGUUAAGGGACAAAGGGUUUGCUUUGUUCGUGGUUUCAGGGCCCUCAGUCCAUGGCAGCUUGGCCUCACGCAUUUGUGUAGAGCAUCCUGUGGGUAGGAGCCUGUGGUGGUGGCUCUUUUUCACUUGGGAGACGGCAAGCCAAGAGAAUGUGUCCAGGGACAGGCCAGGGUGACCCACCAAAGACAAGUUCCUAGUGACUUGCUUUCUCCAACUACGCCUUAACUACCUUCCACACAUCCUGAUAUGACCAUCAAUCGUGUAUCCAUUCAGGAAUGAAUCCAUCUUUAGGCCAGAGCCCUCAGGACCAGCUAGCCUCUGGAGAGGGCCUCUCAGAGACACCCAGAAGUGUGCUUGACUAACCCGCUAGGUGGGUCUAUUGUUUGAGCCAAUCAAAUUGAUAAUCAAAAUUACCCAUUAUUCUUGGGUAAAUCCUCCUAGUGCUCGACUGAAGGCAUUGCAGGUAGGAAGGCUGUGAGGACAGAGCUGGGCUCCUAAUAAGUGAGAGACAAAAGAUGCUUUGUGCUUGAGGAUGACUGAGCCAGCUAGCCAACCCCCUCCACCCCAAUCCUCCACCCCCCACCCCCCACCUUGGCAUGCAGGACCAACUGGUAGAGAAAAAGAACCAAGUGGUGAAAUUUAAUUAGGGUUUUGGUUUUGUGUGAUGUCAGACAUUCAAGAGUCUCGGGGUUUGCUGGCAAAGGUGGAUGGGAGACCUGAGUUUGAGCAAUGGGUCAAGGGUCAUUGUCCUGCUGCUCUCAGACCUGGGCCCCAAUGUUCAUCGCAGGAGACCCAGAUAUCACAGUAGAGCAGACAGAUAAGGGAGAGCAAGGGAUGAUGGUUCGUACCUUGCUAGCUGCUCAGGAAGGAGAGCCUACUCUACGGUUGGUAGCCCAAAGCUUGUGGUUCUGACCUAGCCAGUGCACCUGGCCCUUCCUGCACUUCCUCGAGGCCGGGGAGGAGCCGAGAACCCCCAGGUCAGCUGAUGCUCUAGGACAAGGGACCGAAGCAGGGUUAGAGAGGUCUCUGCAAGGGUCUCUUCCAGGAGAGAGCACAGAGCACAGCCCAGAGAGAGGUGUGGCAUGAGCGGAAGGUCUGCUACCUUCAGAUUAACCUCCUCUGUGAAUGAUGUUUGGUGUUGGGGCUUUUGGGAAGCCAGCAGGUCAGGGUAGGUGAAGUCCGUAGGAGGGAGGAUGCCCUUUUAAGGAGCGGUAGACAGGUUUAUCUCCUUUCUCCCGGAAGCCAAUGGUGGAACACCUGAAGCUUUGAGUGCCAAGAUGUCUAGCAAUCCAAACGAGUUAAUGAUCUCAGUAAAAUGAAACAGGAGGUCUAUGACCCAAAAGGUCACCCAGGGCAAAGACCUCUCUCCUCUCCGCGGCCUUUUUUACCGGCUCCCAUCAGGACUUUGGGACUUUCUGGUCAAACUCUUCCCUGUUUUUUUUACCAACACACUCUACAUUUUCGAGCAGGCCUUUGUGGGGGCAGGGAAGAAGAGCAGAGCCUGUGGCUGGGGUCUCAGCCAGACAGGCCCGAGGGCUGGGUGAAGGUGGAACACCGAGUCUCUGGAGAAGAGGUGAUUUCUGAGAAUGAGGCACGAGAAGCGGCUUUCUGUUCUGACGAUAAAAUAGACAAGCCCUCAGAAGAGUGGGUAAUUAGAGAUCUUCAAGGCCGCCUCUCCUGGUAACAGGAGACAGCUGCUUCUAGCCACCGCAUGAGUGCUUUGGACCCCUCGGAGAAAAGGAAAAGUGGGCAGACACCCACAGGCCUGUGUGGGGAUCAUUGGCACAAGGCCUUGGCCUGGACCAUGAAUCCGUUCCUAUUGUUGAUGCAAAGCGGGGAGGUAUUGGGUGAGGAGGGGAAGCUGGGGUUUAUGUAAGCAAGUCCUUUCCACAUUUGUGACCCGCUUCGGACUCCAGUGUUUGCUUCACAGAUGACGAACCCGAGGUUCAAGAGAUUAUCAUCUGCUUUAGGAAGUACUUAAGAUAUGAUUAUGUCCCAGCUCUGGAAAACUAGACUCUUUCCCUUCAAGGUAUGGUGGCAGAUGAUGGCCACACUCUCUCCUGUUCCAUGUGUGCAUUUGAUAUUCCUUCUAUUGACGUGGUACCCGAAAGUCUGAAUUUGUUUGUUUGUUUGUUUUGAGACAGUAUCUAUCUCCCUGUGUAGCCCCGGUCAACUCGAAACUCCCUAUGUAGACCAGACUGGCUUCAAACUCGCAGAGAUUUGCUUGCCUCUGCCUCCCAAGUGCUGGGACUAAAGGCACAUAUCACCAGGUCCUGCCAACGUCUGUGUUUCAAGAGUCUGCAGAAUCGUCUAAGAUAUGUGUGCAGAUCUCUGAUGCCAGAGACCGAGUCUGUUUCUGUCUUGGACACGUAGAAGUUCAAAACGUUCUGGAGGAAUUGAAGUGAUUUAUAACGAUAUUUGUAUCCAGAGUUUGUCAAAGAGAGCUGGUCAACCAAGCUUUCAACAAUGGGCGACGAGAAGCACACAAUCAACACCUGGCAGAAGAAGCAUCUGGAAGUUACCUCCUGGACAAAUAUGGUGACUGGGGAAGCCAGCUCUAGUCCCAGAGCUCUGAGAGUAUGGGCAUUCAGGCUGAGCAGCUGUGGCGUUCGAACACCAGCUGUGUUCUGUUUCUCUCAACCCUACUACCUAGACUUGCAAUCUGUACACACUGCAGGCAGAGCCAGUGCGUUUACGUACCGGGGCAGGCAUUUUGUCCGGGCUUAGGGGAAGAAGGUCUUUGUUACCAGGUGUACUGGUGAGAUUGUAUUGUUGACCUGACACAAAUCAGAGUCACUUGGGAAGAGGGACCCUCAAUGGAGAAAUUGCCUCCAUCCUAUUGAUGUGUGGGCGUGUCUGUGGGCAAUUUGCCUUGAUUGAUGACUGAUGAGAGCCCGGCUCACUGUGGGCGGUGUUGUCCCUAGGCCCAGCUCCCAAAUAAAUCACACACAGAGAUUUAUUCUUAGUUAUGAAUGACUGGCCUUAACUUGGCUUGUUUCUUGCCAGCUUUUCUUGUCUUAUGUUAUCCAGUCUACCUUUUGCCUCUGGUCUUUUAUCUUUCCCUUCUGUAAAUCCGACUUUGACUCUUACUCCGUGGCUGCUGCUGGGUGACUGGGUGGCUGGCCACCUGUGUCCUCCUCUCCUUGUUCUUGGGCCCCUCUUCUCUCUCCUCCCAGAGUUCCCCUUGUAUUUACACUCUUCUCGCUAGCCCCACCUAUUCUUGUUUCUGCCUCGCUAUUGGGCACUCAGUUCUUUAUUAGAACCAUCAGGUGUUUCAGACAAAGAAUCACAGCUUCAUGGUUCCUCAAAUGCAGCGUAGACAAAAGUCACACACCUGAAAACUACAUUCCCCAACACUCUGUGGUCUCCAAUUCAGUUCAUGCUUCCAGGUUUCUGCCUCAGGUUCUGGUCUUGGUUUCUCCUAAUAUGGACUUGUAAUCUCUGAGUCAAAGAAACGCUUUCCUUCUCAAGUUGCUUCCGGUCAGCCUGUUUUAUCACAGCAGCGGAAAGCAAGCUAGAAAACUAGGGAAUGUAACGUAGAAGAAAAGAGAUCUGGAGCUGUCUGAGAUCGAGAAGGUUCCGAUCUCCUAUGUGGAUUCCCGUUCAUGAUAGUCCCAGCGGAAGUAUGUUCUCUUAUCUGUCUUCUCCAAGGCUUGCUCCUUUCUGGUGUUCCUAAGACUGGAUCUCUCUCAAUCAUUUCUGCCCAAGAACUUGUUAUGAUAGUUUGUUUGUGUUCUGACAAAUAAAGCUUGUCUGAAAAUCUA
Molecule: non-coding RNA, 4328 nt
Organism: Myodes glareolus (Bank vole)
Lineage: Eukaryota; Metazoa; Chordata; Mammalia; Rodentia; Cricetidae
Source: RefSeq, a predicted model, not a curated record